GAUGAACGCUAGCGGGAGGCCUAACACAUGCAAGCCGAGCGGUAUUGUUUCUUCGGAAAUGCGAGAGCGGCGUACGGGUGCGUAACACGUGUGCAACCUGCCUUUAUCUGGGGGAUAGCCUUUCGAAAGGAAGAUUAAUACUCCAUAAUAUAUUGAACGGCAUCGUUUAAUAUUGAAAGCUCCGGCGGAUAGAGAUGGGCACGCGCAAGAUUAGCUAGUUGGUGAGGUAACGGCUCACCAAGGCGAUGAUCUUUAGGGGGCCUGAGAGGGUGAUCCCCCACACUGGUACUGAGACACGGACCAGACUCCUACGGGAGGCAGCAGUGAGGAAUAUUGGUCAAUGGGUGCAAGCCUGAACCAGCCAUCCCGCGUGAAGGACGACUGCCCUAUGGGUUGUAAACUUCUUUUGUAUAGGGAUAAACCUACCCUCGAGAGGGUAGCUGAAGGUACUAUACGAAUAAGCACCGGCUAACUCCGUG
This 479-nucleotide ribosomal RNA is filed under the name uncultured bacterium. RNAcentral describes it as "partial 16S ribosomal RNA". It matches the Rfam family "Bacterial small subunit ribosomal RNA", at positions 28 to 507 of the family's 1533-position model. The record is from RNAcentral.